This 404-nucleotide ribosomal RNA is filed under the name bacterium. RNAcentral describes it as "partial 16S ribosomal RNA". It matches the Rfam family "Bacterial small subunit ribosomal RNA", at positions 355 to 777 of the family's 1533-position model. The record is from RNAcentral.
UGGGGAAUAUUGCACAAUGGAGGGAACUCUGAUGCAGCGACGCCGCGUGAACGAAGAAGGCUUUCGAGUCGUAAAGUUCUUUUAUAUGGGAAGAUAAUGACGGUACCAUAAGAAAAAGCCCCGGCUAACUACGUGCCAGCAGCCGCGGUAAUACGUAGGGGGCUAGCGUUGUCCGGAAUCACUGGGCGUAAAGGGUUCGCAGGCGGAAAUGCAAGUCAGGUGUAAAAGGCAGUAGCUUAACUACUGUAAGCAUUUGAAACUGCAUAUCUUGAGAAGAGUAGAGGUAAGUGGAAUUUUUAGUGUAGCGGUGAAAUGCGUAGAUAUUAAAAAGAAUACCGGUGGCGAAGGCGACGUACUGGGCUCAUUCUGACGCUGAGGAACGAAAGCGUGGGUAGCAAACAGGA